UCCUACGGGAGGCAGCAGUUAGGAAUCUUGCGCAAUGGACGAAAGUCUGACGCAGCGACGCCGCGUGCGGGAUGACGGCCUUCGGGUUGUAAACCGCUUUCAGCAGGGACGAAAUUGACGGUACCUGCAGAAGAAGCCCCGGCCAACUACGUGCCAGCAGCCGCGGUAAUACGUAGGGGGCAAGCGUUGUCCGGAUUUAUUGGGCGUAAAGAGCUCGUAGGUGGUUUGGUAAGUCGGAUGUGAAAUCUCCAGGCUCAACCUGGAGGGGUCAUUCAAUAAUGNCAUGACUAGAGGUCGGUAGGGGAGUGUGGAAUUCCUGGUGGAGCGGUGAAAUGCGCAGAUAUCAGGAGGAACACCCGUAGCGAAGGCGGCACUCUGGGCCGAUUCUGACACUGACGAUCGAAAGCGUGGGGAGCUAACAGGAUUAAAUACCCUGGUAGA
This 441-nucleotide ribosomal RNA is filed under the name uncultured Actinomycetes bacterium. Its description in RNAcentral is "bacterial SSU rRNA". It matches the Rfam family "Bacterial small subunit ribosomal RNA", at positions 337 to 794 of the family's 1533-position model. Lineage: Bacteria; Bacillati; Actinomycetota; Actinomycetes. The record is from RNAcentral.